Long non-coding RNA from Felis catus (domestic cat), 8526 nucleotides. RefSeq lists it as uncharacterized. The transcript has 3 exons. The record is from RefSeq and is a predicted model, not a curated record. NCBI's taxonomy places the organism in Eukaryota, Metazoa, Chordata, Mammalia, Carnivora, Felidae.
GCCCCUUCUCCACUCACGCUCUGUCUGUCUCUCAACAUAAAUAAAUAAGUAAACAAGCAAACAUUAAAAAACAUUUUUAAUGAUGAAGUUGUAUUAGGUGAUCUCUUGGGGUCUUUCCAGCUCUGAACUUGUUUUAUCCUAUACCCUGCCAGGGGCAUUCCACAUCACAGCACCCUCAGAUUGAGAAUGUUUCCUGGAGGUGAGGGAGAAUGACCAUGGACUUGGAGGGCCCGCAUGGCCCACGAGAGCAGUUUCUGUUCAGCCAACAGCUCCUCAGCUUCCCGAAGAGUAGCCAGGUCCCAAUGAGUCCUUGCAAGGAAUAACCCUUCUAAGCCCCUGUCUCUGUCUUGUUUGGGCAGAAUGAAUAUAUGCAGCCAGUUUUUCUCCUCCGAGUUCAUUUUUACUGUCAAGCAGACCAAGCCUGUGUUUAUUCUUCUAAAGGUCUAUCAGAGAGAUUAAGGAAUUGGAAUUGCUGAAAUGAUUACAGAAAGGGGAGCCAGGGCAGACAGGGAGGAAGAAAACCAUUGAUUCCAGAGGAAGUGCUCACCAUCCGUCCCUUCCGAUCCUUGCCUUGGUGAGCCAACCCUCCCUGUCUUUUUUCAGAUCUUACUUAAAUGUCACUUCCUCAGGGGGGGUCUCCCCUGAUACCUUCCCAGCACCCUGUGUUCUGUUCACAGAACAUAUUUGUGAAGGACGUGGAACUCCUCAGCGGGCUGCCAGUAAACAUUAUUCCCUUCCCUUCCUUCUUUGCUGCUUCUCUGUUGGGUAUGUCCAUCCUUAAACCUCAGUUUCCCAACCUAUUGCCUCUAGGUUUAUCAGAGCUAAUAUCAGAAACAUUUCACAAUUGGCUUCUCACCUGGUUAGAAUGACAGUUCCCACAGUGCUCAGACGUCUUCUGUAUCUUUAGUCUUUUACCAAAAGCACACACCAUACAGGUGCACACACAUGCACACACACAUGCACACACAGAGCUAGCCAGCAGCUAACAAUCCAUCAGUCAGACAACUGUCUAGUGGCACAGCAAUUGAUUCUAAAGUGUAGUUCAUUGUAAAAUUAUUAAGUCAAUCUACAUACUUCACCUUUAUUGAGCCUUCUAGAAGAACUACCCUGCAUAAUACAGUACACUUUGGUGAAUAAAUAUGUUUUUAGUGUAACUAGGAAAAGAGUAAUGGAGUGGAAGCUCCCCAUGUGUCUGUCUGAACCUCCGUGGUACCACCCCCAUCCAAGGCCAACCCUAUGACGUAGCGGGUCCGGCGGUAUCGAAUGUCUCCUGGGCACACACGUGGGUAUGCCAGCGUCUUAAGGAGAAGCUCUUAACUCCAAAAUUGUGCUCUCUGGCUGCUGACCCCCCGUGCCUGCGCUCUGAGCUAGGUCGCUGGUACGGAGGGGGUGUAUUCAGAAAGAGGAAUGGCAGGGAGAAUUGGAAGGAGAUUUAGGAGGUAUUGACUGAAGAAUUAUUCGUUGCAAUUGCACUUGGGGAGACUGUGGCUGACUGCUGGAAGCCCCUUGGCCCGAGUUAUAGGAUUAUAAAGUGGUUAGUCAGCCGUGAUUUAGCAACUUACCUUUGGAAAAUGCUAAAAUCGACUAUACUUAUUCGGCAGAGAUUUAUUAAGUGCCUACUGUAUGCUGGGGAAUCCAAGCAGCCGCGUGGUGGGGCUUGAAGAGCUCUGUUUGUAAGUGCGAGGUAUGGAAGGCCAGAGGAAGGAGCAUUUGGUGCUUCUUCGGGAGCGUGAAGAAAGGUUUACAGAUAUGGCUUCCUUUUAUCGUGUUUUAAAGGAUGGUGAGAAAUGAGAAUGGCUGAGGGAUACGUCUGCAGAGAUAAGGCAAGAGUCUGAGCAAGGGCGUGGUGGCAGCAAUGCGGCUGGAGCAAGGGAGUGGGGUGGAGACAGAUGGAACCAGAGCCAGCAAAGCCAGGUUUGGGUCAGAUGACGUCCCAUCUGCCCCGCAGAGUUGAUGGACUUUUUAGCAUUGGCGUUGGCAUUGGCAGGCCCAGGAUCUUGUCUUGGCCGUCCCACCAACUGACCAUGCGUGUACCCUUGAACAAGUCCUUCCUCCCCUGGCAGUAAACUAGAGGGUCUCCAGAGAUCUCUCGACUCUGAAAUGCUGUUGACUUCAUGGAUUGGACUCCAUUUAUAUGACAAUGGCUGAGUGACUUCUCCUGGCCAACAUGUUUACCACGUGAAGUAGGUGAUUUUCCUCCACACGGCUUUUCAGUGUCUCUGUCCGCCUUGCAUAUCUCUCCCGUGCUCUCCACAGGCCAGGUCCCCACAGUGGGACCGAGCACCCCUGACUCUUGAGCUGUGCGGCUCUCUUACUUCCCCUUGCCCGGAAGUAGCCAUCCUGUCCCCUGUGCCCAGCCUCCUUCCCCAAUGGAUGACGGGCCUCCCCAGUCUCAAAACUCAGUUUGUGCCAAUAUGGUAAUGGAUGAGGAUAGCAUCGAAUUUGGGGACCUUUGAGAGCAUCUAGCUAAAUCUUGUCAUUUCACAGUUGGGGACAUAACUGAGGAGGGAGUUAUGACUCACCUGAGCUCUCCUAGUGAGAGCCAGGAGUGGGGACCGGAGGUCCCCCGGCCCGCAGGCCCACACGUUCCCUGGAUCAGCACUGACGGAGGACUCACUGUGUCAGGGAUGCAACAAUGAAUAAAGUUCCGUCGUCGAGGGGGUCACACUAGAUGGGGAGAUAAACCCAAGUAAAUUAUCGACCUUCAAAGCCGAGCCCUGGGGAAGGAAAGCCGCAGGCGGCUGUGGUGGCCGUCAAGGGGGCAGAUGACAGAAGGCACGGGUCCAGACCCGACUCAAGAUGGCCACCCCUGCCUCGGAGCUUCUGAAACUUCCUCUCUCCUCACUCUUGACCAUACCCGGUAGGGGGCUACGGACCAGGAGGCGUUUGAAUCGAGCCACGGCCUGCCUGGGCGGGCAGAUGUGUGGCUACGCUCCCUGAGUCAUGUUGGGCGAGGACCUUCCCCUUGGCCAGCCCGGGUGACCGAGAGAGUCAUCCCGAGCUGCCUAGGAGGCUUCUCCAAGAACUACCAUAUUUGAGAUAUGCCGCUCGUGUUUCUUCAUCUGCUGUCUACCCAAAGCAAGAGUUGGUCUCAGCCGGGGCUGAUUAAUCAGUAUAUCUGAGGGGGCGGUGGGGGAAUGAGGCACUGUGGUCAAUUAUCCUGGAAGAACCAGGCACCGGUAGCAGGGAUGCGGGAUCAUUGAAACUGGAAAUGACCCAGUUAGGCCUUUAUCGCAGAGCUUGGGUUGGGGGAGGAGCCCGGCAUCUGGGCUUCGCGCUGGGGUCUGGUUUUUAAAGCUGAGUCAGGAGCUUCCAGAUGCACUUGAAUCCUUACCACGUGGGGCAGGGGAUGCAAGAGUGGAAUGAAUAUUGCCAGGAAAAUCGAUGGAAACCGGAGAAGCAUUCGAUAGGGGGUUUUGAGACCCUAGCGGAGGCGGAAAAAACUGCUUCGCAUCGGAGGAGCCAAUUAUCAGACAACCCCUUUGCUGAUGUUUGACAAACAGCAUGACAGUGAACGUGGGUCCCGCGGGGCUCCCAGAACUAAGGUUGAGAUAUUUGUGUAUCAUCCAUUUAAUAGUAAUUGAAAGUUGUUCCCUCUAUCUGCCCUAACACGCAUACCCACACACGCGCACACGUUCAUCUAUGCCUGUGUGUGUCGCCGACUGGGUGCACCAGACUGUGCAUAUGAAAUCAAUCAAAUUGAAAUAGGAAGUAGACCCUGGGGACUCCUCUGGUUUAGAAUCUCUGGAAACGUAAUGGAAAUGGACCCCUGUGACUGCCCAGGCCUUCUGUGCAAUAGAGCUUUGGGAGAAAGGAAGACUUGCCUUGCCCUCUGUCACAAAUUUGUUAACGAUUCAGAAGUGCCAUUAAUUCAGUGAGAGAGGAAUCGGCCUCCCCUUCUGUCCGGUGACCCAGUAGUCCCCGAUCAUGUCCAAUCACGGGUCUGAUCAUAAAAAUCUACCCAUUUACAGGGCGGCCUGGGUGGCUCAGUCGGUUAAGCAUCCAACUCUGGAUAUUGGCUCAGGUCAUGAUGUCACAUGGUUGUGACAUGGAACCCUGAGUCGAUCUGUGCACUGACAGCGGGAAGCCUGCUUGGGAUUCUCUCUUUGCCACUUCCCCCCCUCUCACGCGCAGGCACUUUCUCUCUCUCUCUCUCUCAAAAUAAGUAAAUAUUUUUUAAAAAAUCUACCCACUUCCAUAGCUGGCAAUGGAAUAGUGAUCGCUUCCUGAUUCUGAGUACCACCCCUGUGCAGACACCGUUCUAAGCAUUACGUCCAGGAUCUUGAGUCCUCAGAAUAUCACCACCAGAUAGGUGUUCCAGUUCUACGAAGCAGGAAAGUGAGAACCAGAGAAGUUUGAGAGCCCGGUCUGGGGCCCUUCAGUCAACAUGUGCUGAGCUUGUGGAGCUGAGAAUUUGCCCGUGACCUCCCAGCCCACACCUUGUCCUUAUCACACUGAUCUUUAUUGCUUUUUCCGUGCUGUAUUAAUUUUCUGUUGCUGUGCAACAAAUAACUACAAACCAGCUUAAAAUAACCCCGGUUAUUAGCUCACAGUUCUGUAGGUCACAUGUCCAGCAUGGCGUGGCUGGGCUCUCUGCUCGGGCUGAAAUCGAGAUGGUGGCUGGCCGUUUUCUCAUCCGCAGUUCGGGGGCCUCUUCCAGGCUCAUUUCUGUUGUCAGGACUCAUGUCCUUGUGGCUACAGGACUGAAAUCUCUGUUUUCUUCCCAGCUUUUGGCUGGGGAUUGUUCUCGGCAUUCAGAGGCCACUCUCUGGUCCUCUGUGACAUCCCGAUCUCAUCUCACUAACAGAACCUCCUUCUAUGUCAGACCUUCUCACACUUGGAAUCUCUGUGACUUCCUCGUCUGUGACCAGCCAGAGAAAACUGUUUUUAAAGCGCUCAAGUGCUUAGGUCAGAACCACCUGGAUAAUCUGUGCCUUAUAACAUAACAUAAUCAUGGAAGUAGAAACCAUCAUAGCCCCAGUCCUGACGAGAGAGAGAGAGAGAGAGAGAGAGAGAGUGAGUUGUGGGAUGGGGGGGGGACUCUUGGGGGGCCACCUUCGAAUCCUCCCUACCACGCUGCCAACCUUGUAUGUUGGUUUAUUUCCUUGGCCAUCUGUCCCCGCCAUUACCUGCUGAAAGGAUAGACAAGAGAUACAGCCAUGGAACCAGGAAGAGGGGACUGGAGAGUCUUGGGACAGGAAAUGACAUAUCUCCUGAGAGGUGACACAGCCAGGUUCUCCUUGCUGGCCAGCUGCAGGGCUCUGGGCAGGGAGCACCCCAGUUCCUGCUGGUGGUCCGUAAACCAGUCCCAGAGAGAAGACUGAGAGCCGGAGUACAGAGGGAAACUGAGGCCGCUUGGCACUGCAUUCGCACCACAGAAGCUCCUGGUCCUGAGGAAUUUGGGCCCUGCUGAGAAGGAUGUUUGGGGUUUACUGAAUGUUUGGAAAGCAUAGGGAGUCUGAGAAUAAAAGACAUUAUGGCAAAUCGUGUUAUUAUUAUUAUUACAUUAUAAGUGCUAUUGUAUUACAAGCACCAUUAGGAGUAUCAAGUAAUGUUAUUAUUAAGCAAUCCAGCUUCUCUGUCACCAGCAUCAGGCUCCACUCAGUGUCAGAGGCAUCAGCAGCUCAAUUAAUCACCAUCCGAGGCUCCCCCCAGCCCCGUCUUUGCGGUUCUGACACCUCACGUUCCCAGCCCAGCAGUGAACGUGACAUCUGCCCAACCGGGUGAAGCCUCCGGCAAUAACCCCCAUGGAUUUCAAAACUGGAUUUAUCUUGCCCAGGAGUUAAGAUCUUCUGGAAACCAUUCCAGAUGCUCUCUCUUGCUUGGAGUCCUUCAGUAGUUCCCCAUUCCCCUCAGGAUAAAGUCCAAAGCAGCCUCUUACGAACCUCCCUCUCUGGGCUUUACCCUGCCCUGUUCCCCACCACCCAUAGCCCGCCCCAGCCAGACUGAGAGACGUACAGUUCCCUGAAUUUAUCACACACCCUCGCUCCUGGGGCUCCGGGCUCCUCCUCCCACCUCUCCAUCCGGGUGGCUUCUGCUCUUCUGUCAGGCCUUGUCUUGCAACCAGCCCUCAGCUUAGGAAAAUCCACAGAAAUUGUGAUACAAGGGACCCCCUUGAUCCGUACCCCUAGCACUUGUGCUGACCAACUGUCUGGGACUCGUCUCCGGCUUGCCACCGAGUAGGUAUAUAUAGACCUUGAAGACAGCGACAGGCUUUGUUGUAUAUCUAGUGCCUCAUGGGAUGUGUCAUCUAUAGGAGAUGCUCAUAUCUUUUGUGCAACGAAUGAGGUAAAAAUGGCCAAGAUCUGAAAGUCUCCUGGUAUUACAGUUCCCUCCCCUGUGGGAAACAGUCUGAGAGCCCAGUGGCCUGGGUUCUGGUCCUGCCUUAGUCACAUUCGUCCUGACUGAUCUUGAGCAUGUCAGAGACAGCGAGAGUCCCAGCCGCUGCGGGAGCCCAUCGUUUUGGUCCUGCUGCAGAGAUGCCGAUGGGCAGAGUCAGUAGGAGGCCAGGGCUACGGAUUGACCGCAUCACUCACCUUCCUCAGAAUCUCCUUAUGUCCCUUGUGAAAGGGAUGCCUCAAGUCUCUACGUGCCUGAGGCUAAUGAGUUGGGACCUGGGAAGAGGGAGGUUUAGCGCCUGAUGUGGAGACGGGAGGCCUGAUCAAUGGAUCCUGAGUGCAGGGGACCUCAGAAGUAAGGAAUCGAUGUCUGAUAAAGGAAGCAGACCUGCAGAGAAGCAGUAGCAAUCCCCAGCCUAAGGGGAGAGCACAGUGUCCACUAUUUCUCAUGUCAGUUUGACCCACGGAGGUUUCAGCUUCACAGUUGAUAACCACUUAUUGAGUUCCAGAGGCACAGAACAGAUUUCUAAGUGCAAAACGAAGACGGUCACAGCUGCUGGGGUGGAAAUAGGAAGGUCUUUCCCCCUAGCCUCUGCCUUCCUCUUCCUGGGAGCAAAUGACCAAAGGCUUUGGAAAGGUGAUCCCACCCUGACGGGUGUUUACAGGUGAACGUUAAUUCAUUUAACGAGUGUGUAUUGAGCAUUUGCUAAGCACAGGCAUGGGGUAAGGUACAGGGAACAGAUCAAUGAACGAGACGGAAUAGGGUCUGCAUUUGAAGUCCUGUUUGUGGAUUCGCGUUGGGAAAGAGAAGCAGAGAAGGGACUGGGUCCCUGGGAGGAACAGAUACGCGUGUUUAGGUCACGGGGAGAAAUGAAUAGGAGGCACGUAGGGAGAAGAAUCCAGGAGAUCUGGGGGCUGAGAGGUUUAGGACCAAAUCUCCCAUUAAAUGGAAUUCACUGACAGGUAUGAAUUAGCCUCCCAGCUGCUACUUUCUUCAAAGCCCUAUUCCACAAAAGCGAUCACCCAGCCUGCAGAGAGCAGAGGCUUUGAUGCAGAUUAACAGGCAGACAGAAACCGGGUGUGGGGAGGGAGGGGAUGCACGGGUACCCAGCUCUCUGGACUCCUCAUGGCUGGAGCCAUGAGGGCUUUCCUGAGACAGGCUGAGAGGGCACUUAUGAGACAGGGGUCUGGGACCUGGCCUCUGCCAUGCCUUGGGUCCCCAGAAAAAAUGAAUGGAUAUAGCCAUAAAGAAGAUCCUUGGGAAGUUGAAAGGUCCAUGCUGUCCAUGGGGUAAGGUGAGGGACGAGUGGCCAGGCACUCUCUUCUUAGGUUCAUUCAACCAAAAGUGUUGACUUCUUUCUCUAUGUCGUGCACCGGUGUAAGUGCUGGUGAUAUGAGUGCAUUUGUCUCCAGAGCACCCAGUCCUUGGAAGGCAGCUUUGGACAAACUCACAUGAUAUAAAGUUCUGAUGAUAGGUAUAUCUACAGUGGUGGCCCGGUUGAGGCAAGGGCUCGUCCCGCCUGUCUUGGGGAUGGAGGAGGUCAAGGUGAAGAAUGAACAGAGGAGUAGACAGGGUUCACAGCAUGAAAAGACAUGUGUGUAAACCUAAGUUUGUUUUUGCCCUGUUUGCGGUCUAGAGCAUUGGGAAGUAGAAGGGGACUCGUGAUCAAAUGUAUAGUUUAGGAAGAUCCUUCCAGCAGUAGCCCCGAGAAGGAGCUCGGAGAGAUGUAAAUGGCUUAGUUGGUAGUCCAAGAACAAGCUGGUGAAGAUCUGAAUUGAGGCAGAGGUGGUGGGGAUGGUGGGCAGGCGAAAGAUUCAAGAGAUGUGGAGGAUGUAAAAUGUUCUCCAAUGACCAGGAAUGAAUGCAUGCACAACUGAAUGAGAUGGGGAACGUGAGAGAAUGGAAGAAACAGAGAAGGAGUUCCAAAUUCUAAACUGAACGGCAGGUGGAUGAUGGUCACGUUCACAAGUAGGCAACCAAGGGUGGGAAUCAGAUGGGGGAGGAAGGAUCAGGAGUUCAAGUAUGGGAAUGAUAAAGUCUUAAGGAUAUCUUGCAUUAGUCCAGCUUCAUAAUAACAGCCUAAGAAGUUGGAAUCUUUUGGUGUUCUCAGUACUCCUGGGGUGAGAACAUAAAAGGCUGUCAGUCAUGGGGCACCUGGGUGGCUCAGUCAGUUGAGCGUCUGAUUUC